GACGAACGCUGGCGGCGUGCUUAACACAUGCAAGUCGAACGGAAAGGCCCUGCUUUUGUGGGGUGCUCGAGUGGCGAACGGGUGAGUAACACGUGAGUAACCUGCCCUUGACUUUGGGAUAACUUCAGGAAACUGGGGCUAAUACCGGAUAGGAGCUCCUGCUGCAUGGUGGGGGUUGGAAAGUUUCGGCGGUUGGGGAUGGACUCGCGGCUUAUCAGCUUGUUGGUGGGGUAGUGGCUUACCAAGGCUUUGACGGGUAGCCGGCCUGAGAGGGUGACCGGCCACAUUGGGACUGAGAUACGGCCCAGACCCCUACGGGGGGAAGCAGGGGGGAAUAUUGCACAAGGGGGGGAAGCCGGAUGCAGCAACGCCGCGGGGGGGAUGACGGCCUUCGGGUUGUAAACCGUUUUCGCCUGGGACGAAGCGGGAGGGGCGGUAAUGGGAAAAGAAGCACCGGCUAAAUACGU
This 467-nucleotide ribosomal RNA is filed under the name uncultured bacterium. Its description in RNAcentral is "partial 16S ribosomal RNA". It matches the Rfam family "Bacterial small subunit ribosomal RNA", at positions 28 to 506 of the family's 1533-position model. The record is from RNAcentral.